RNAcentral lists this transfer RNA (68 nucleotides) under Inoviridae sp. RNAcentral describes it as "tRNA-Arg". It matches the Rfam family "tRNA". Rfam says of the family: Transfer RNA (tRNA) molecules are approximately 80 nucleotides in length. Their secondary structure includes four short double-helical elements and three loops (D, anti-codon, and T loops). The record is from RNAcentral. Lineage: Floreoviria; Loebvirae; Hofneiviricota; Faserviricetes; Tubulavirales; Inoviridae.
UGUAGCUCAGUGGAUAGAGUACCCGGCUACGAACCGGUUGGUCGCAGGUUCAAAUCCUGUUGCCCCGA